AACUCUCAGCAAUAGAUAUCUUAGUUCUUACAAUGAUGAAGAAUGCAACAAAAUGCAAUACGUAAUGUAAAUUAUAAAAUUUUGUGAAUCAUCAAGUUUUUGAAUGCAAGUUGCACUCAAGGCUCAUCUGAUGGCAUUCAUGCCAGAGCAUCA
RNAcentral lists this ribosomal RNA (153 nucleotides) under Physcomitrium patens. RNAcentral's name for it is "rRNA 5_8S_rRNA". It matches the Rfam family "5.8S ribosomal RNA". Rfam says of the family: 5.8S ribosomal RNA (5.8S rRNA) is a component of the large subunit of the eukaryotic ribosome. It is transcribed by RNA polymerase I as part of the 45S precursor that also contains 18S and 28S rRNA. Lineage: Eukaryota; Viridiplantae; Streptophyta; Bryopsida; Funariales; Funariaceae. The record is from Rfam by way of RNAcentral.